AACUUUUAUUAUCGUCGGCAACGCCCCCUCAACAUGGCAUGAAUUUAACGUUUUCGUUUCACGUUUUCAACCGGUAGGUAUCUAUAUUUUUAUAAAUGUUCGUUGGGGUCCUAAUUAAAGUCAUUUCUACAGAAUGGAUUCCAAAAUCGACCCAAUUUUGUCGUGAUUAUAAGUGCAAACCGAUUUUGAUCUGUAAAUAUUAUGGAUUGUAAUUAAGCAUAUAUUUAAUGUUCUAUAGAUGUCAUAUUUAAUUUUUUUAUUUUAUUAAAACCAUUUUUGAGAUAAAUUCGAUGCUUAUUUUUUAUUGUAAAACUUUAUUAUGUAAUUUUAAUUUUUAUGACCAAAUGUAGGUUUUAAACAAAUGUUCUAUUAAAGGAUUGCCGAAUGCGAAGAGUUUCAUAUAUUGACUCUCUACUAAGCGGUGUUGUGCGAGUGUGACAGCAUUGUAGUAUCGCGCCUGUAAGAAGAACAUAUAUACAGGGUUGCUAAAAAAUAAGUGCAUUCCCGUUGCCAGGGAGGUUUUGGGAUUAUACUUAGCAAUUGUUACUAUGGGACCAACCACGUAAUCGCGAAAAAAAAUGACCCAUAGAAAAUGGACCAGCCAAAUUUUUUCGCUAUUUCGGGGUUAGUCCCAUAGUAAAAGUUGCGCAGUAUAAUCCCAAAACCUCCCUGGCAACAAGAAUGCACUUAUUUUUUAGCCACUUUAUCUUAUGGUCAAUGAAUGAAAUUCUUCAUCGCUUGGCGACUGUACCUUAGCUUUAGGGGUUAUUCUGACAAAGUAAAACUGAUUAACAACUACAAUUUAAAUGAAAACCUUAUUACAGUGAACAUAUGGUCCAUAAUGACUUGGCGUUGUUACGUCAUUUUACUUUGAAUAGUAAUCGGCUGAUUUAAGUUUAUCACGAAUAAAACAUUUGAUUGAUUAAUUGAUUUGAUAAUAUCUUCAUAACUACGUGAUUUUAAAUAAAAUAUUAAAAAUAUAUGUUUUUUGUCCCUUGUACAGUCGCCAUCAGAUAUAUCGGAGGCGUUCACAAAUAUCUGAACACGUCUCUAUUGUCAGGGCGUUAGAGUGCGUGUUCAGAUAUUGUGAACAACUUGGCCGCUCCCAUAUAUCUGAUGGCGACUGUACAGACGAGGUAGACCUAAUCUUAACGCUCAAGACACAGAUAUAAUAGAUACUUCGCGUCCGAACCCCGACCAAGCGUCGGGGUUGGCCGUCGCUACUGACAGUCGUUGGCCGACGUAGCCAUCAUGUGUGGGUGUCACUAGAUCUAGACGUGUUUGUAUUUAAAGUAUUUAAACCAGCCGAAACCCCAAAGCGUAUCGGAAAAGAAUGGCGUUCGAGGUCGAAUGACAAAUGUAACAUAUUAUUUACAUGUAAAAGAAAUGUUUUACUAAACGUAGUCCUUAAACCCGUAUCUUUAUAUAGUCGUUCGACCCCAUACUGGUCCCUAAAUACACGGCAACGUCGCGUGCAAGUAUGUUGAAAUAAUUAUUGCGAAAUACAACUGUGUGAAUCAAUCAUUCAUCACAGCAUAUAAGUUUAGGUGGUGAUGAGUCCGACCAAGAUAAGUUGCUUAAAAACAGUACUGAGCGGUCGGCAAAAGGUCGCCAAUCUGCUGUCGCGGGGCGUGGCCGUUCUGUAAGAUAAUACUAUUAUUUAUUCCGUUCGAAAAAUGGGCUCCAGCGGUGGCAGCAUGGUUCCAUUUCCAACUGUUACUAUGCCCGUCACUUACGCAGUUGUUAGAACGUGACAGGCAU
Cydia strobilella is the source of this 1761-nucleotide long non-coding RNA. RefSeq lists it as uncharacterized. Lineage: Eukaryota; Metazoa; Arthropoda; Insecta; Lepidoptera; Tortricidae. The transcript has 3 exons. The record is from RefSeq and is a predicted model, not a curated record.